RNAcentral lists this ribosomal RNA (855 nucleotides) under Dichotomopilus ramosissimus. RNAcentral describes it as "partial large subunit ribosomal RNA". It matches the Rfam family "Eukaryotic large subunit ribosomal RNA", at positions 75 to 963 of the family's 3401-position model. The record is from RNAcentral. Lineage: Eukaryota; Fungi; Ascomycota; Sordariomycetes; Sordariales; Chaetomiaceae.
UUGCCCUAGUAACGGCGAGUGAAGCGGCAACAGCUCAAAUUUGAAAUCUGGCCUCGGCCCGAGUUGUAAUUUGCAGAGGAAGCUUUAGGCGCGGCACCUUCUGAGUCCCCUGGAACGGGGCGCCAUAGAGGGUGAGAGCCCCGUAUAGUUGGAUGCCUAGCCUGUGUAAAGCUCCUUCGACGAGUCGAGUAGUUUGGGAAUGCUGCUCAAAAUGGGAGGUAAAUUUCUUCUAAAGCUAAAUACCGGCCAGAGACCGAUAGCGCACAAGUAGAGUGAUCGAAAGAUGAAAAGCACUUUGAAAAGAGGGUUAAAAAGCACGUGAAAUUGUUGAAAGGGAAGCGCUUGUGACCAGACUUGCGCCGGGCUGAUCAUCCGGUGUUCUCACCGGUGCACUCGGCCCGGCACAGGCCAGCAUCGGUUCUCGCGGGGGGAUAAAGGUCCCGGGAACGUAGCUCCUCCGGGAGUGUUAUAGCCCGGGGCGUAAUGCCCUCGCGGGGACCGAGGUUCGCGCAUCUGCAAGGAUGCUGGCGUAAUGGUCAUCAGCGACCCGUCUUGAAACACGGACCAAGGAGUCAAGGUUUUGCGCGAGUGUUUGGGUGUCAAACCCGCACGCGUAAUGAAAGUGAACGUAGGUGAGAGCUUCGGCGCAUCAUCGACCGAUCCUGAUGUUUUCGGAUGGAUUUGAGUAGGAGCGUUAAGCCUUGGACCCGAAAGAUGGUGAACUAUGCUUGGAUAGGGUGAAGCCAGAGGAAACUCUGGUGGAGGCUCGCAGCGGUUCUGACGUGCAAAUCGAUCGUCAAAUCUGAGCAUGGGGGCGAAAGACUAAUCGAACCAUCUAGUAGCUGGUUACCGCCG